This 301-nucleotide ribosomal RNA is filed under the name uncultured bacterium. RNAcentral describes it as "partial 16S ribosomal RNA". It matches the Rfam family "Bacterial small subunit ribosomal RNA", at positions 509 to 809 of the family's 1533-position model. The record is from RNAcentral.
CAGUCGCCACGGGAAUACGAAGGGGGCUAGCGUUGUUCGGAAUUACUGGGCGUAAAGCGCACGUAGGCGGAUCUUUAAGUCAGAGGUGAAAUCCCAAGGCUCGACCUUGGAACUGCCUUUGAUACUGGUGAUCUUGAGUCCGGAAGAGGUGAGUGGAACUGCGAGUGUAGAGGUGAAAUUCGUAGAUAUUCGCAAGAACACCAGUGGCGAAGGCGGCUCACUGGUCCGGUACUGACGCUGAGGUGCGAAAGCGUGGGGAGCAAACAGGAUUAGAUACCCCGGUAGUCCCUGUCUCUUAUAA